RNAcentral lists this ribosomal RNA (253 nucleotides) under uncultured bacterium. Its description in RNAcentral is "partial 16S ribosomal RNA". It matches the Rfam family "Bacterial small subunit ribosomal RNA", at positions 524 to 776 of the family's 1533-position model. The record is from RNAcentral.
UACGGGGGGGGCAAGCGUUGUUCGGAAUUACUGGGCGUAAAGGGCUCGUAGGUGGCCAACUAAGUCAGACGUGAAAUCCCUCAGCUUAACUGGGGAACUGCGUCUGAUACUGGAUGGCUCGAGUUUGGGAGAGGGAUGCGGAAUUCCAGGUGUAGCGGUGAAAUGCGUAGAUAUCUGGAGGAACACCGGUGGCGAAGGCGGCAUCCUGGACCAACACUGACGCUGAUGAGCGAAAGCCAGGGGAGCAAACGGG